GACGAACGCUGGCGGCGUGCCUAAUACAUGCAAGUAGAACGCACAGUUUAUACCGUAGCUUGCUACACCAUAGACUGUGAGUUGCGAACGGGUGAGUAACGCGUAGGUAACCUGCCUGGUAGCGGGGGAUAACUAUUGGAAACGAUAGCUAAUACCGCAUAAUAUUAAUUAUUGCAUGAUAAUUAAUUGAACGGUGCAAUUGCACCACUACCAGAUGGACCUGCGUUGUAUUAGCUAGUAGGUGAGGUAACGGCUCACCUAGGCGACGAUACAUAGCCGACCUGAGAGGGGGAUCGGCCACACUGGGACUGAGACACGGCCCAGACUCCUACGGGAGGCAGCAGUAGGGAAUCUUCGGCAAUGGACGAAAGUCUGACCGAGCAACGCCGCGUGAGUGAAGAAGGUUUUCGGAUCGUAAAGCUCUGUUGUAAGAGAAGAACGGGUGUGAGAGUGGAAAGUUCACACUGUGACGGUAUCUUAACAGAAAGGGACGGCUAACUACGUG
This 505-nucleotide ribosomal RNA is filed under the name uncultured bacterium. Its description in RNAcentral is "partial 16S ribosomal RNA". It matches the Rfam family "Bacterial small subunit ribosomal RNA", at positions 28 to 507 of the family's 1533-position model. The record is from RNAcentral.